This 253-nucleotide ribosomal RNA is filed under the name uncultured bacterium. Its description in RNAcentral is "partial 16S ribosomal RNA". It matches the Rfam family "Bacterial small subunit ribosomal RNA", at positions 524 to 776 of the family's 1533-position model. The record is from RNAcentral.
UACGUAGGGCGCGAGCGUUGUCCGGAAUCAUUGGGCGUAAAGAGCUCGUAGGCGGCCUGUCGCGUCUGCUGUGAAAUCCCGGGGCUUAACCCCGGGCGUGCAGUGGAUACGGGCUGGCUGGAGGCAGGCAGGGGAGAACGGAAUUCCCGGUGUAGCGGUGAAAUGCGCAGAUAUCGGGAGGAACACCGGUGGCGAAGGCGGUUCUCUGGGCCGUUACUGACGCUGAGGAGCGAAAGCGUGGGGAGCGAACAGG